AUGCCCUCCUUGUCCUGGAUCUUUGCCUUCACGUUGUCGAUGGUGUCCGAGGACUCCCACCUCCAAGGUGAUGGUCUUGCCCGUCAGGGUCUUGACGAAGAUCUGCAUGCCUCCACGGAGCCUGAGCACCAGGUGGAGGGUGGACUCCUUCUGGAUGUUGUAGUCAGCCAGGGUGCAGCCAUCCUCAAGCUGCUUGCCGGCAAAGAUGAGGCGCUGCUGGUCCGGAGGGAUUCCCUCCUUGUCCUGGAUCUUGGCCUUGACAUUGUCGAUCGUGUCAAACGACUCGACCUCAAGGGUGAUGGUCUUGCCGGUGAGGGUCUUCACAAAGAUCUGCAUCUGUAA
RNAcentral lists this ribosomal RNA (342 nucleotides) under Triticum aestivum (bread wheat). RNAcentral describes it as "partial small subunit ribosomal RNA". Lineage: Eukaryota; Viridiplantae; Streptophyta; Magnoliopsida; Poales; Poaceae. The record is from RNAcentral.